This 496-nucleotide ribosomal RNA is filed under the name uncultured bacterium. RNAcentral describes it as "partial 16S ribosomal RNA". It matches the Rfam family "Bacterial small subunit ribosomal RNA", at positions 28 to 507 of the family's 1533-position model. The record is from RNAcentral.
GAUGAACGCUGGCGGCGUGCCUAAUACAUGCAAGUCGAGCGAACGGACGAGAAGCUUGCUUUUCUGAUGUUAGCGGCGGACGGGUGAGUAACACGUGGAUAACCUACCUAUAAGACUGGGAUAACUUCGGGAACCGGAGCUAAUACCGGAUAAUAUUUUGAACCGCAUGGUUCAAAAGUGAAAGACGGUCUUGCUGUCACUUAUAGAUGGAUCCGCGCUGCAUUAGCUAGUUGGUAAGGUAACGGCUUACCAAGGCAACGAUGCAUAGCCGACCUGAGAGGGUGAUCGGCCACACUGGAACUGAGACACGGUCCAGACUCCUACGGGAGGCAGCAGAAGGGAAUCUUCCGCAAUGGGCGAAAGCCUGACGGAGCAACGCCUCGUGAGUGAUGAAGGUCUUCGGAUCGUAAAACUCUGUUAUUAGGGAAGAACAUAUGUGUAAGUAACUGUGCACAUCUUGACGGUACCUAAUCAGAAAGCCACGGCUAACUACGUG